This 403-nucleotide ribosomal RNA is filed under the name Verrucomicrobiota bacterium. Its description in RNAcentral is "Verrucomicrobia bacterium partial 16S ribosomal RNA". It matches the Rfam family "Bacterial small subunit ribosomal RNA", at positions 355 to 776 of the family's 1533-position model. Lineage: Bacteria; Pseudomonadati; Verrucomicrobiota. The record is from RNAcentral.
UGGGGAAUAUUGCACAAUGGGGGAAACCCUGAUGCAGCGACGCCGCGUGAGCGAAGAAGGCUUUCGAGUCGUAAAGCUCUGUCCUAUGAGAAGAUAAUGACGGUAUCAUAGGAGGAAGCCCUGGCUAAAUACGUGCCAGCAGCCGCGGUAAUACGUAUGGGGCGAGCGUUGUCCGGAAUUAUUGGGCGUAAAGGGUACGUAGGCGGUUCUUUAAGUCAGGUGUCAAAGCGUGGAGCUUAACUCCAUUAAGCACUUGAAACUGAAAGACUUGAGUGAAGGAGAGGAAAGUGGAAUUCCUAGUGUAGCGGUGAAAUGCGUAGAUAUUAGGAGGAAUACCGGUGGCGAAGGCGACUUUCUGGACUUUUACUGACGCUCAGGUACGAAAGCGUGGGGAGCAAACAGG